ACUCUUCCCUGAACAAGGAGGGCACCACGUCACGGGAUGGGACCCCAGACGGAAUAGAAGGUGAACACAAGCUGGCCAUGAGCAUUCCCCCACCUGCUGUUUUCUGACGACAUGCACAUUGGGACCAGCUGCCUUGUGUUCCUCUUGUUGCCGUGAGUUUCCCUCCAAGCUGGACUGUCGACCCAGACUGAGUCAACGCAAGCCUUCCUGAAGCCACCUCUGACGGCUACUCUGUCACAGCGCCAAGAAAAGGAACCGAUAUCACAGCCCAAGUCAGCACUGUUUACCAAACCUGGUGGUCCAAGGAUGCUACUAGAUCAGCACAAAGAGAAGCGUUUGGAAACAAAGGAGCAGCUGUGGGCUGGUGCAGAUCUAGGAGGAAGAAGUGACCAGAAACCGAGGACCAUAACAGGAGCCAGUCCUGCAGAAAAGUUCCAAAAGUAGUGAACAAAUGCAGGAGGGAAAUUUUUCACUUAUUUCAAAAGCUCCAAGAAGACAAAGGACGUUGGGCAUGAGAAGUACUCCUUUCAGGUUUUCAGGCUGGUGAGGUGCCUCAGUGGGUAAGGGAACUUACCCCCAAGCCUGAUGACCUGAGUCCAAUAUCUGGAUCCCACAGGCCGGAAGGAGAGAGCCAGCUCUCAGUAGUGUAAGGAAAUAGACCUCCUGUAUUGCAUGAGCGGGGCUGACAGUGAGUCCAGUGAGUACCUGGAUCUGUAACAGGCUACAGAACCUCGGAAGUCCACAAGAAGGGGAAGCACGUGCCCUGGCAACUUGGUUUUCGCCCUGACAGGAGUGACUAAUCUACAGCCUUGAGUAAGUUUAGUUUUCUGGGCUGCUUCUAGGUAAGUCCUUUUUGAGAAUGCUCAAGUCCCAUGACCAGUC
Peromyscus californicus insignis is the source of this 882-nucleotide long non-coding RNA. RefSeq lists it as uncharacterized. NCBI's taxonomy places the organism in Eukaryota, Metazoa, Chordata, Mammalia, Rodentia, Cricetidae. The record is from RefSeq and is a predicted model, not a curated record. The transcript has 5 exons.